RNAcentral lists this ribosomal RNA (406 nucleotides) under uncultured bacterium. Its description in RNAcentral is "partial 16S ribosomal RNA". It matches the Rfam family "Bacterial small subunit ribosomal RNA", at positions 28 to 526 of the family's 1533-position model. The record is from RNAcentral.
GAUGAACGCUAGCAACAGGCUUAACACAUGCAAGUCGAGGGACCGGCGCACGGGGGAGUAACACGUAUCCAACCUGCUCCUUACUCGGGGAUAGCCUUUCGAAAGAAAGAUUAAUACCCGAUAUAAAGGAUGGGGAUGCGUACCAUUAGGUUGUUAGUGAGGUAACAGCCCACCAAGCGUUCGAUGGGUAGGUGUUCUGAGAGGAAGGUCACCCACAUCAGAACUAAGACACGGUCCCAAAUCCUACGGGAGGCAGCAGUGAGGCAUAUUGGUAAAUGUGCGGUAGCCUGAACCUGCCAAGUAGCGUUAAGGAUGAAGGCUUCUGGGUCGUAAACUUCUUUUAUAUAAUAAUAUGUAUUAUAUGAAUAAGGAUCGGCUAACUCCGUGCCAGCAGCCGCGGUAAUAC